Molecule: ribosomal RNA, 680 nt
Filed under: Dichotomocladium elegans
Lineage: Eukaryota; Fungi; Mucoromycota; Mucoromycetes; Mucorales; Lichtheimiaceae
Description: eukaryotic LSU rRNA
Rfam family: Eukaryotic large subunit ribosomal RNA
Source: RNAcentral
UAACAAUGAUUCCCCUAGUAACGGCGAGUGAAGAGGGAAGAGCUCAAAGUUGGAACCUGUUUGCCUUUGGCAAACCGGAUUGUAAACUAAAGAGUUGUUGUCCAGGCAAGCUAGAUCUGCAAGUCCCUUGGAAUAGGGCACCUUGGAGGGUGAGAGUCCCGUCCUGGAUCUAAGCAUUUGUCUUUUGCGUCAACUUCUCGACGAGUCAGGUUGUUUGGGAAUGCAGCCUAAAGUGGGUGGUAAAUCCCAUCUAAAGCUAAAUAUUGGCGAGAGACCGAUAGCGAACAAGUACCGUGAGGGAAAGAUGAAAAGAACUUUGAAAAGAGAGUUAAACAGUAUGUGAAAUUGCUAAGAGGGAAGCGUUUGGAGUCAGACUUGGCGUUGUCCUGAUCAGCCUGUUCUUUCGAGAGCGGGUUUACUCUGGACUUGUGCCAGCCAACAGCAGUUUUCCUAGAUGGAAAAAACUCUGGGGAAUGUAGUUCUUUGGAAUGAUUAUAGACCUAGAGAAAAUACAUUUGGGAAGACUGAGGAAUGCAAUGGAUGCUUUCAGGCUUUGACUUUGGGAUCUCUGUUGGAGGGUGCGGUUAGUUUUUCAGUUCGCUGAUGCUAGCUGGACCUGAAGGCAAGGGUUCCAAGAUCUUUAAUCCAUUCAGGUUGUUGGCUUAAUGACUCUAAAUGAC